Phacochoerus africanus (Common warthog) is the source of this 8299-nucleotide RNA transcript. It is a transcript of the gene named synaptic Ras GTPase activating protein 1, with no coding region annotated. The record is from RefSeq and is a predicted model, not a curated record. The transcript is spliced from 20 exons. NCBI's taxonomy places the organism in Eukaryota, Metazoa, Chordata, Mammalia, Artiodactyla, Suidae.
CCCUCCCCCCCAGGCCUGAUGAGCAGGUCUCGCGCUUCCAUCCAUCGGGGGAGCAUCCCCGCGAUGUCCUAUGCCCCCUUCAGAGAUGUACGGGGACCCCCCAUGCACCGAACCCAAUACGUUCACUCCCCAUAUGACCGUCCUGGUUGGAACCCCCGGUUCUGCAUCAUCUCGGGGAACCAGCUUCUCAUGCUGGAUGAGGACGAGAUACACCCCCUUCUGAUCCGGGACCGGAGGAGCGAGUCCAGCCGCAACAAACUGCUGAGACGCACAGUCUCCGUGCCGGUGGAGGGGCGGCCGCACGGCGAGCAUGAAUACCACUUGGGUCGCUCGAGGAGGAAGAGCGUCCCAGGGGGGAAGCAGUACAGCAUGGAGGCCGCCCCCGCCGCACCCUUCCGGCCCUCGCAAGGCUUCCUGAGCCGGAGGCUAAAAAGCUCUAUCAAACGCACGAAGUCACAACCCAAACUUGACCGGACCAGCAGCUUUCGACAGAUCCUGCCUCGCUUUCGAAGUGCUGACCAUGACCGGGCCCGGCUGAUGCAGAGCUUUAAGGAGUCACACUCCCAUGAGUCCUUGCUGAGUCCCAGCAGCGCUGCCGAGGCCUUGGAGCUCAACUUGGAUGAAGACUCCAUCAUCAAGCCAGUGCAUAGCUCCAUCCUGGGCCAGGAGUUCUGUUUUGAGGUAACCACGUCAUCAGGAACGAAAUGUUUUGCCUGUCGUUCUGCGGCCGAAAGGGACAAAUGGAUCGAGAAUCUACAGCGGGCAGUAAAACCCAACAAGGACAACAGCCGCCGGGUGGACAACGUAUUGAAGCUGUGGAUCAUCGAGGCCCGGGAGCUGCCGCCCAAGAAGCGGUACUACUGCGAGCUCUGCCUGGAUGACAUGCUGUACGCGCGCACCACCUCCAAGCCGCGCUCGGCCUCGGGGGACACCGUCUUCUGGGGCGAGCACUUCGAGUUUAACAACCUGCCGGCUGUGCGGGCCCUGCGGCUGCAUCUGUACCGUGACUCAGACAAAAAGCGCAAGAAGGACAAGGCGGGCUAUGUUGGCCUGGUGACUGUGCCUGUGGCCACCCUGGCCGGGCGCCACUUCACAGAGCAGUGGUACCCCGUCACCCUGCCGACGGGCAGUGGGGGCUCUGGGGGCAUGGGAGGCUCCGGCGGGGGCGGGGGCUCUGGGGGCGGCUCCGGGGGCAAGGGCAAGGGCGGCUGCCCGGCCGUGCGGCUGAAGGCACGCUACCAGACCAUGAGCAUCCUGCCCAUGGAGCUGUACAAGGAGUUCGCUGAGUACGUCACCAACCAUUACCGGAUGCUGUGUGCCGUGCUGGAGCCCGCCCUGAAUGUCAAGGGCAAGGAGGAGGUGGCCAGCGCUCUGGUCCACAUCCUGCAGAGCACAGGCAAGGCCAAGGACUUCCUUUCUGACAUGGCCAUGUCUGAGGUGGACCGGUUCAUGGAACGGGAGCACCUCAUAUUCCGCGAGAACACGCUCGCCACCAAAGCCAUAGAAGAGUACAUGAGGCUGAUCGGUCAGAAGUACCUCAAGGAUGCCAUCGGGGAGUUCAUCCGUGCGCUGUACGAGUCUGAGGAGAACUGUGAGGUGGACCCCAUCAAGUGCACGGCGUCCAGUCUGGCAGAGCACCAGGCCAACCUGCGGAUGUGCUGUGAGUUGGCCCUGUGCAAGGUGGUCAACUCCCACUGCGUGUUCCCGAGGGAGCUGAAGGAGGUGUUCGCGUCCUGGCGGCUGCGCUGCGCGGAGCGGGGCCGGGAGGACAUCGCCGACAGACUCAUCAGCGCCUCACUCUUCCUGCGCUUCCUCUGCCCCGCCAUCAUGUCGCCCAGCCUCUUUGGGCUCAUGCAGGAGUACCCGGACGAACAGACCUCUCGAACCCUCACCCUCAUCGCCAAGGUCAUCCAGAAUCUGGCCAACUUUUCCAAGUUUACUUCAAAGGAGGACUUUCUGGGCUUCAUGAAUGAGUUCUUGGAGCUGGAGUGGGGCUCCAUGCAGCAGUUCCUGUACGAGAUCUCCAACCUGGACACGCUGACCAACAGCAGCAGCUUUGAGGGCUACAUCGACUUGGGCCGAGAGCUCUCCACGCUGCACGCCUUGCUCUGGGAGGUGCUGCCCCAGCUCAGCAAGGAAGCCCUUCUGAAGCUGGGCCCGCUGCCCCGGCUCCUCAACGACAUCAGCACAGCCCUGAGGAACCCCAACAUCCAGAGGCAGCCGAGCCGGCAGAGCGAGCGGCCCCGGCCCCAGCCCGUGGUGCUACGGGGCCCUUCGGCUGAGAUGCAGGGCUACGUGAUGCGGGACCUCAACAGCUCCAUCGACCUUCAGUCCUUCAUGGCUCGAGGCCUCAACAGCUCCAUGGACAUGGCUCGCCUCCCCUCCCCAACCAAGGAGAAGCCUCCCCCACCGCCACCUGGCGGCGGGAAAGACCUGUUCUACGUGAGCCGCCCGCCCUUGGCCCGGUCUUCGCCGGCAUACUGUACCAGCAGCUCGGACAUCACAGAGCCAGAGCAGAAAAUGCUGAGUGUCAAUAAGAGCGUCUCCAUGCUGGACCUGCAGGGUGAUGGGCCCGGAGGCCGCCUCAACAGCAGCAGCGUGUCCAACCUGGCAGCCGUCGGGGACCUGCUGCACUCGAGCCAGGCCUCCCUGACAGCAGCCUUGGGGCUACGGCCUGCGCCCGCUGGACGCCUCUCCCAGGGGAGCGGCUCGUCCAUCACGGCGGCUGGUAUGCGCCUCAGCCAGAUGGGCGUCACCACGGACGGUGUCCCAGCCCAGCAGCUACGAGUCCCCCUCUCUUUCCAGAACCCUCUCUUCCACAUGGCUGCGGAUGGGCCAGGCCCCCCAGGGGGCCAUGCUGGGGGUGGUGGCCAUGGCCCACCCUCCUCCCACCACCACCACCACCACCACCACCACCACCGAGGGGGAGAGCCCCCGGGGGACACCUUUGCCCCGUUCCACGGCUACAGCAAGAGCGAGGACCUCUCCUCAGGGGUCCCCAAGCCCCCCGCCGCUUCCAUCCUUCACAGCCACAGCUACAGUGAUGAGUUUGGACCCUCUGGCACUGACUUCACCCGUCGGCAGCUCUCACUCCAGGACAACCUGCAGCACAUGCUGUCCCCUCCCCAGAUCACCAUCGGUCCCCAGAGGCCUGUCCCCCCAGGGCCUGGAGGUGGGAGCGGUGGUGGGGGCAGUGGCGGGGGUGGCGGGGGCCAGCCACCUCCACUGCAGAGGGGCAAGUCUCAGCAGUUGACAGUCAGCGCCGCCCAGAAGCCCCGGCCGUCCAGCGGGAAUCUAUUGCAGUCACCAGAGCCAAGUUACGGCCCUGCGCGCCCACGGCAACAGAGCCUCAGCAAGGAGGGCAGCAUUGGGGGCAGCGGGGGCAGCGGUGGCGGAGGGGGUGGGGGGCUCAAGCCCUCCAUCACCAAGCAGCAUUCUCAGACGCCAUCCACGCUGAACCCCACGAUGCCAGCCUCUGAGCGGACGGUGGCCUGGGUCUCCAAUAUGCCCCACCUGUCAGCCGACAUCGAGAGCGCCCACAUCGAGCGGGAGGAGUACAAGCUCAAGGAGUACUCCAAGUCGAUGGACGAGAGCCGGCUGGAUAGGGUGAAGGAGUACGAGGAGGAGAUCCACUCGCUCAAGGAGCGGCUGCACAUGUCCAACCGCAAGCUGGAGGAGUACGAGCGGCGGCUGCUGUCCCAGGAGGAGCAGACCAGCAAAAUCCUGAUGCAGUAUCAGGCCCGGCUGGAGCAGAGCGAGAAGAGGCUCAGGCAGCAGCAGGUGGAAAAGGACUCGCAGAUCAAGAGCAUCAUUGGCAGGCUGAUGCUGGUGGAGGAGGAGCUGCGCCGGGACCACCCUGCCAUGGCUGAGCCGCUGCCCGAACCCAAGAAGAGGCUGCUCGACGCUCAGGCUUCCCCGCCACCGCCACCAAGGCUCCUGACCCCAUGACCCCACUCUCUCCCCCUGCAGCUCCUCAUCAGGUAAUUCUCCUGGUUCCGCUUUGACCACGGGCGGAGGACACAGGGGGAGGUGACUCCGGACCACUGCAGGUUGGUCAUGAAGCCCACUCCCCUCUGACUCUCCGGAGCCUCUCCCCCUCACUGUCGCCCUCACACCGGGAACCUCCGCAGACCCUAUCCUCUUGACACUGCACAGACCCCUCCCUAAGCACUGCCCCCAGCACUGCGCAGUGACACCCGCCGUCCCAGCACCCCAGGCCACACUCCCUGCCCUCGGAGUCUGCCCCAGCCUCCUCUGACUCUCAGUCCUCCUCCUCCUCUCCAGUGUAUGUCUGUCACCCCCCAUUUCACCAAAGUGUCCUUGGGGCCUGGGCCGUUGGGGUGGGUUUGUUAAAGGGGUGGUGGUAAUGGGCGGGGGCCCUGGCUGGAGGGCUGUGCUGCCUGCACACCUGCCUGCAGGUAGGUGGGGGUCUCCUCUUCCUCCCCCUCCCCUCAGCUCUGCAGGGAACCUUCCUUCCUUCCCACUCACCUCUGUCCUUGCCUUACACCACGAGGUGGAAGGCUUCUCGGGGCCCCUCCUCGGCCCCACUGGAUGUGAAUUAGGAGCAGGUAGUUCAUCUGGGGUGGCUUUGGAGACCUGGCCAGGAUGCUGUUCAGCUGCCGGGACAGUAGGCAGGGCGAGUGGAGCAAGAAGGAAUGAGAAAGGGACCUUGGCGGAUGUUAGUGUGGGCUGGCGCAGGCGGCCUGGGAGCUGCCAGUGGGGCCUGGGUCCUCCUAGGUGAGGCCAUGGCUGGACAGCUGAUUCCCGGGCAGAGGUGGCAGAAUAGCAGCUUAAAUAAGUGCUCACAUCCCUGGCCUGCUCAUGUCCCUCACCCACCUCUUUCAGUGGCCUUGCCGGACACAGUCCCACCUAAAAAGCCAGGGACCGGAACCUGUCAGCCACUGACAUUGGUCCUGGGAUGCUCUCUUUCCUGUGGGCCUGCUCUGCAGUGAGCAGUGGCCCCUCGCACUGUAAUUUAACUCUGCCUGCCCAGCCUCUCUGUCAGAGUAGUUAGUGAUUGGAAAACAGAUGCUAUGAGACACCAGGGGACCUCACCAUUUAAAGGACUCCUGCAGUGAAGUCUUUUGUUAAGUGAAUAAUGGCACCCUAAUUUAUCUCCUUUCUAAAUCUGGGUCCCUGGGGGUGUGGGGGCAUGCCUGUGUGCCACUGCCAGCAGACAGGCAGAGGGAAGGGAAUGAGAGGUGUCCCCCCCACCCCUCACUCUGCUGCCAUACUCGGGGCACCCCAUAGCCACACGCAUGCAGCUUCCUCUCACCCAUGAAGGGGGUGUGAGAUACCAGCAAGCCAAGAGGGCACCCGCUUCAGUCUGGGCUUGUGAGGCCUGCUGAGAGGUGAGCUUUUUGAUUUGGAGGGCAAGCUGACUGGGAAGCCUCUGGUUGGAAUGUUUUUGCUCUUCUUGACGUUUGGUCCAACCCAGCUAGGCUGCCAGGCUUCAGUGCUCUGUGGCCCAGGAAAUAAUUAGGACCCUUUUUCUAAACCACUGUCACGUAGUGGUUCCUUGGUCACUCAGCGGUUACUGUAAAAAUUAAUCUUGUGCCUGUAUUUUUAAAAGCCAAGUGAGCGACCCGAAGCGUGGAAGCCAUCCACGGUUUUCUCUCCCUCUCUCUGCAGAGAACAGAAGCCAGAGCUGGGGGUGGGAGCCGGCGGCCACCCCAGGGUGGAGGGGGUAGAUGGGGCCGGGGCUGGGAGUCGGUUUGGCACCGUCACCCUUGGCCUGGGAGCCCAGGGUGAGGGAUGAAAGGACCGUGGAGGUGGAGAGGCAUGAGCCUUGUGCUUCUUGGGGGUGCAGGGACUGGGGCCUGCUGUGUCCCGUCCUUUCUGUUCUGCUCCCAGCAGAGGCAACACACCCACAUCAUUCCCUUCCCACCUCCCUGCCCUGAGCUCCUGUCUCCAUCCAGUUCAGCCUCUCGUUACAUUCGAGAAGGUGGCCUCUUGGGAUAAGUGAGGGGCUGAGUGACAGUGUCUAUUUAAUGAAAUGCAUGUCUUCAGAACAUAUCCAGUGAGUAGAAUUGGAUGAAGGAGGCCGCGGGGAGCCUGCAGAACCAGUAGCUGGGCUUGAAAGGUCUGCUUCUGGUGGAGGUGAAGCAGCUCCGCCCACAGCCUCAUUUCGACCAUUCAUCUGCUUAGCACACCCUUUCUUCACAGAUGAAGGAAAACUCAGGCCCAGUUUUUGUUCAAAUUAUGAAAGAAUUCCAAACCCCGUGGGUUUGGAUUAAUGAGGUUUUGCUGAACUGCCUCCCCUGUUCCCUGGACGUGAAGUUCCCACCUCAGGUCAGAAGCUUCGAGGCUUAGGUUGGGGGUGAGAUGGGAGCCUGCUGGUUUCCUGGUGUGACUCCCUGGGUUGAAGGCCCUGGUUAGGAGUCAGGGGCGAGAGCCUCUUCUCCCCGGCCUCAGGAGAUGUAACAGCUCUGCAGGAGAGGCAGCUUCCCCCCUUGGGUCCAGCAAACCCGCGUGUGACGCUGGCACCCCCUUGGAACGGCCUGGCCCCCCCAGCCCCGCCCCCCCCCACCCCGGCUGCAGAUCACCGAGAACGGCGAGUUCCGAAACACCGCAGAACACUAGCCCACCCAGCAUCACAGGCUCCCCGUGCACCCCACCCUGGAGCAGCACCCACCACCAGGACCGGACGUCGCCGAGGGACCUCGGGAUUGCCUCCCUGAAGGGCCCCUGGGGGCACCUGGCCCCACCCCCACUGCACCAUCUCCAGGAGGGAGAGCAGGGACCCUUGGCUGCCCCCUUUUCCUUCCUGUUGGGGUGCUGCCCCUUUGACCCCCAGGACACCACCUACCCCAUACAGACCCCUUCACUCCGGGGUGCUAUCCCCAUCCUCUGCCUCAUUAGUCCCCUGAGCACUGGGGGACACCCUCGCCCCACCCUGGGGGCAUGGCACCUCCAAACUUUCAACUUCAGGGUGAUUUUUUAGCAGUAACCAGAGCUGACAAUCUAACUCCCCUCCACCGCCCCAUUUUGGCCUCCCCUGUCCCCCUUGUUAUGGGGAGGGGACCCCGGGUGAGGGGGCCCUGUUACCCCUUGAUUUCUCAGGAGCGUCUGGGGGGGCUCAGCACGCACAAACCCCUUCUCCUCUUCCCACUCUCAAAUUUACUCCCUCCCCACCCAGAACCCAGAUGGGGUGGAGGGGCCACCGGGGCAGGGAGGGGGCGGCCAGGGGGGAAUGGGGGUGGUCUCCCCUUCUUCCCAUACCUGAUCUGCUCUUGGCUGGUCCCAGAGCGGGGUGAGGGGGCUUAUGCCCCCCCCUCCCCCAGUGUGUUGGGUGGGGCACAGUUGAGGUUAGGGUGAGGGGUUAGGGUUUGGGAAGGGGUGUCUGUGGGGGAGAACUCCCCUGGCACACACAGCCCCCCUGCCCCUGCCCCUCUCUGCUUGGUCUCUACUCCCAGGGGGAGGGGGAACUUACUCUAGGAAAAGCCAUGUCUCUCUCCCCCAGGGUGGGGGAACUUGUGUUGGAGGAGGGGUGUUGGGGGACCCCUUCCAUGACUCUGUCCCCGGGGGGGAGGCAGGACAGGGCUGGGCUUCCCUCUCAUCCUCCCCCCCCCAAUCCCCUUCCUCCUCCCUCCCGCCAGCUCCACAAUUUUUCGGUGUUUCUCUGUACAUAGCUCUCUGGCGGGAUAGGGGAGGUAGGGUGGAUGGGGUUUGGGGGGGCUAGGUCACAGGAGGGAAGAGGCCCCUCCUUGGCAUCCCCUUUUCCCCGACUGCCGCCCCCUCCCCAGCCUAGUCCCUCACCCCUUCUUGCGUUUGGUAUUGAGACUCUUCCCAGACUCCACUCUUCUUUCUUUUGUAUGGACAGUUCCCCUUCAGUCCCAUCCCCUACACACCUACACCCAGCCGGGGCCAAAUUUAUACUUAUAUAAAAGUUGUAAAUAUGUGAAAUUUUAUCCCUGUGCCCUUUCCUCGCUUUCCCAACCUCAGAUCCUACCCCUGGACUCCCCCUUCCUCUUCUCUUUGGCUGUUGUAAUUAUCUGGGGUUUGUACUGUACAUAUCCGGGGUGUGUGUGUGUGGGCUGGGGGCGACCCCUCUGUACAGAGCUUCCUGGCCCCCUGCCCCCCAGACUUUCCUCCCCACCCACACCCUAAGGGUAGGAGAUAUUCUUCCUACCUGUUUUAUUUUGUUUUCUCGUUCUCCCUCCCCACCCCACCCUACCCCCAGACUACUCUAUCCCCCACCAUUGCCUCUUUUUCUCCACUCCCAGCCCCAUUUCCUUUUUUUCUGGAGUGUGUGGUGAAACAGAAAAAUCAUGUUUAAUAAACGGAGAUUGUUCUUUUA